GUCAGCUCAGCUCGAGUGGCCCAGCCCAGCCCCUUUUAUCCCCGUUAUCUUCACUGGCUACAGCUGCAGCUUAUCAAAAACAGCCAGGGCUUAUCAGGGCCAGGCCCAUACACAGAUAUUCAAUGUACAGUACUCAUAUUUUACUAACCCUCCUACUAUAUUGCUUAUCAGGGCAAGGCCUGUGUAGAGAUAUUCAAUAUACAGAUAUUCAAUAUACAAUAGAGAUAUUUUACUAACACUCCUACUAUAUUGCUUAUCAGGGCAAGGCCUGUAUAGAGAUAUUCAAUGUACAGAUAUUCAAUACACAGAUAUUCAAUGUACAAUACACAUAUUUUACUAACACUCCUACUAUAUUGCUUAUCAGGGCAAGGCCUACACACAGAUAUUCAAUGUACAGAUAUUCAAUGUACAGAUAUUCAAUGUACAAUACACAUAUUUUACUAUGACUCCUACUAUAUUGCUUAUCAGGGCAAGGCCUGUAUAGAGAUAUUCAAUACACAGAUAUUCAAUGUACAGAUAUUCAAUACACAGAUAUUCAAUGUACAGAUAUUCAAUGUACAGAUAUUCAAUGUACAGAUACUCAAUAUACAGGUAUUCAAUAUACAGGUAUUUAAUGUACAGAUAUUCAAUGUACAGAUAUUCAAUAUUCAGAUACUCAAUAUACAGAUAUUCAAUACACAGAUAUUCAAUAUACAGAUAUUCAAUACACAGAUAUUCAAUAUACAGGUAUUCAAUAUACAGAUACUCAAUAUACAGAUAUUCAAUAUACAGGUAUUCAAUGUGCAGAUAUUCAAUGUACAGAUAUUCAAUACACGGAUAUUCAGUAUACAGGUAUUCAAUAUACAGGUAUUCAAUGUACAGAUAUUCAAUAUACAGAUAUUCACUGUACAGAUAUUCAAUGUACAGAUAUUCAAUAUACAGAUACUUGAUAUACAGAUAUUCAAUAUACAGAUACUCAAUGUACAGAUAUUCAAUGUACAGAUAUUCAAUGUACAGAUAUUCAAUACACAGAUAUUCAAUACACAGAUAUUCAAUAUACAGGUAUUCAAUAUACAGGUAUUCAAUGUACAGAUAUUCAAUGUGCAGAUAUUCA
Molecule: long non-coding RNA, 1093 nt
Filed under: Zonotrichia albicollis (white-throated sparrow)
Lineage: Eukaryota; Metazoa; Chordata; Aves; Passeriformes; Passerellidae
Description: lncRNA (ENSZALG00000002078.1)
Source: RNAcentral